Molecule: long non-coding RNA, 2240 nt
Organism: Cyprinus carpio carpio
Lineage: Eukaryota; Metazoa; Chordata; Actinopteri; Cypriniformes; Cyprinidae
Source: Ensembl
UUAAACCAAACCAGUUUCAGUAGGCAUGCCAUUUUGAUUCUCUUCGCAUUGUGAUGUCACAAUGUUUAGGCCCUGCACGCGGCUGCUGACUGACAGUCCUGCAGUACCGUAGUUUCCAUGCUCAGCGAUUUGUGUUUGUUUGUACGCUGUCCUUCAUUUUUUUUCCACGCUCAAACAGCUGUAAUGGCAACAAUGCCUCCUAAGCAUUGUAAGACUGAGCAUAAAAGUCUUCCUUUUUCUCCCAACUUCUGAGCUACUGAGGACGCAGUGGAUUACUUUUAUUUUUGAAGGUAAUGUGCCUCAAAAUGUACCAAAAUUUGUUUAUGUCUGCGCAAAUCAUUUCACUUCAAUACAAGGCAGACUUUGCUAAAAUGUUGUUAAUCAAGGAUGGAUCUGUACCAACUGUUCGUGAUCCAGCUUCACCUCCAGAAGAAGCAUCCUCUCACAUUUGCCACAUGAGAAACAGUACGAGAAGUAAUAUUUGAAUAUGACGCAACAGUAUCCCUCAAAUAAGUGUCAUGUUGUUAUAGUGCUAUAACGUUUUAACUGUAUUUGUGUGUGCAUGUGUGUGCAUGGUUUUGUUAAAGUGCAUAGCAAAUGUUAUCAAAGUAUUUGUGUGUGUGUGUGUGUGUUGCUCAUCCGUCAUUGCAAGUGGGCUAUGGACAAUCUAAAUGUACAUACAUGUAUCAAAUAACCAUUCAGAGACAUCCUGGUUCAUUCUCAUAUUUGUUGUGCAGGAAUGUGUAGUAAUGUGCAGCUCAUUUGCAUUUAAAGCAUUAUGCACCAAAUCAGCUAUUUUUUAGACAAGCCCCCAAAAUGACAUUUUCAUGCAUGUUAUAAUAAAUGGUAUGUGGGCUAUUUUGAAAUUAAACUUCACAGACACAUUCGGGGGACACCCAAGACCAAUUUUGCAUAUUGUAAAAAGGGGCAUAUCAGGUACCCUUUAAAAUAAACCCAAUUUUUUUUUUUUUUUAAAGAGAAAUCAGGAUAUUGUUUGGGAAAUCCCAUUAUUUUUUCUUAUUAGCAGUCCUUUCUAAAGCAAGCAGAUAAAAUUCUUCCAUCCUUCCCUACAUGCAUUUUUAUUUUUAUUUUUUUAAUUAAUUUAUUUUUUAAAUAUAUAACAAAUAUACAACUCAUACCCUAUUGCAUACAUAACAUUAUGGUAUUAAAAUAGUUUACAAACAGUAUCUCUGUAAUGGGGGGGGGGGGGGGUCAUGGUUUAGUCAUGGUUCCUGUUUAGUCGUGCUUCCUUUGCCCUCUUGUAUUCCUGGGGCACGUUCAAACUCAAACCGGUGUGCAACGUUUUGCUAUGUUUUCCGGGUUGAACGAAUGUUUCCUGAAAACGGUGUGCAAAGGGGUUUGAGAUACGUUUUCUCUUGUUUGGUGGGUGUGUCAAAAAUGUCAGCCUAAUCAGCAGCAACAUGAAUAUAAAUCACGUGGUAUUAAAGAGACAGCUUGCACAAUGUAAUUAACAUCAAAAUAAAUUCACAAGAGCAAGUAUAUUGUUUGCACGUUUAUUUACAUUAAAGGCAAAAUAACUAUAAUAAUAAGAGCACAAGUAUAGAUCUGGAACAUCUUUAAGUCUGUCUAAAUAUCAUUUAGUAAUUGCAUUGUCUUCUGGUCCAUCCUUUCCUUAGGAAGGUGUGGAAUAAAGCUGCACUUGGGUUCUUUAACUCGCCUUCAGUGGACUGCUUGUUACAAUUUCAUUGUUACAUGUUGAUUUUUUAUUCUGAUUGUUUGCAAUUGAUACCUUAAAUAAAAGGUACCUAAAAUUUUCUGGUUUGUUGAUGAGAGAUGGUAUUGGAGGGACCACAGCCACAGAGCAACACUCUGGCAACCACUCAUAACACUUCAACAUUCUGGCAUGUGUUUUACACAGGUAAGCACCACCCUAAAUCUAUCUUCCCUAUCUUUCUCUUGCUGAAGAGUGUAUUCUACUAACAGGCAGUCAUACCUCCUUAACACCACUGGACAGGCAACUGUCCUAAUGCCUGAAUGUGUUACCUUGAGGAGCAGAAGGAAAAAGUAGUGCACUGUGAAGAGAAUUACAUACAGAAAUAAUUUUUCUUUCUUUUUUAUCUUUUUUUUAUGAAGCAUUAGAUCUGCCAACUUCUCUAACUCAUGUCUGAGUGAGGUAAUAAUCAUUUUGGCAUGCCUGUCAGAUCCCGCUGACACUGAGGGAGAUAGAUCAAGAUACAGUAUUAUUGUAUCUCUUUAUACUCAUGCACUUUCUUUUUCAG